AUCCCAUCCACACAGCACUACUUCAUUUAUCCCACAAACACGCACGGAAAGCUUUGUCGUUAGUGCUGUGCUCACCGCACACAAAGAUGGACCAGACAGGUCCACCCGGUUGCUCUCCGGAAGCCGAUCUGGAAGCAGGGAGUAGGUCUCCCGGUUUGGGGAAGGUUGCGUGAAUCCAGCCCGAGAGGAACAGAUGGUGGUGAGAAUGAGUUGGAUCAGCCAACCUGAAAUAACGAGGGAGAACAUUCAGAGGGGACAGACCCGAGGAGUGUGGUGUCAUGAAAGCCAAGGGAAGAAGAAGGGCUUUCAGGAAGAAGGUAUUUAGUAAGGUAAAGAGUGGAAUAGUGUCCGUGGAUUCCCGCAAACAGGGAGUAACUAGUUACGUGAUGGCAACGGAUAUGGAGUGUGGGACGCACACCAGGCAAGGGGGGAAUGGAAAAACGGAGAUAAUGGGGGGCUACCAGCUUGGUGUCCUUGGUCAGUUAGCUGUGCGUCAGGCAUGGUAGGGUGAAAUGCUACAGUGCCUCUGGAUCUGAGGCAAAGUCCUGCCAGCAAGGGGACUUCCUUGACCUUGAUCCUGACUCCCUGCUCUCCCGGCAAGCCAACAACAAUGGGAAUCUUGGGGAGCUGAUGCAUAUCCUCAACACCUGUGUUCUUGACUUGAGGGGAUGGGGGACGGGAAUGAAUAUGCAGGGUCAGCAUCUGCUGCAGAGAAAUAGCUCAGGUACCUUCUGUCACCUUCUGGGGUUUGGUUUCUGGAGCCAGUGGCAAGAGGGAGGAGCCGGGGCUCUGGUCUCAGGUCUGUGGGAGACUGGCGUGCGACCUUGGCAAGCCAGUGCUUCCCACCUCUGGAGUUCCUAAUCUGUCAGAGGGAGUCUUCCUCGCGAGAUAAUUCUGGAAUGCAUUUCCUCAUUGGAGGUGUGUUUGUUUUUGCAAGGAAGUCCCUACCAGAAAAGGUUGUGAUGAUCCUUAGGACAAAAAGACGCAUCUGCAAGCCAAGGACCACACAACUAUUGUCCCAUUUAUUCUCCAAACAACGAUAUGGUCCGGGUACUGUUAAUCCCAUGGAGCAGAUGCUAAUGCGUAGGUUUCGGAGGGUGAUGACCUCCUUGAGAGGGAGGGUGUGCGUUUGUACCAGGCAGCAGUGAGGAAUCAUAAAUUUAAAUCAUCACUGCCUGCUCCCCUGCAAAGGGAGUCCUUUGAGCAGGCCAAGGCCUGAAAAGAGCCAUAGAUACUCUCCUGUAUCUGAAAUCCGAAAUUUUGAGAAAACCCCAAAUCCUUAGUGGAUAUUGGGAGACAUCCAUUCUUUGGGAUCUCAGCACCUUACCUGGGUUAUCUUCCAUUUCUCGCCACGGUCCCCACCCCUCACCCCCUGUGUCUCUGCUGUGCCUCACGACUCCCCUCCACACUGCUUCUCCUGCGGGUCACACCUUUGCAUUAUUUCCUGGGCCGGGGAGACCCUUUCCUCACGAUGCAGGCUGACAUUCUGGGCAUCCUUCAAGGCUCCUGAAACUUUCUUGACCUCCCAACAGCUGUAAAGUCUCCCUCCUUGCGGAUCUUUGUUGUAUCUCCUACGCCUCUCGGGAUGUUACUCUUUCUCGGCCUUGAAUUCAAGUUGUCUGUUUACCCCCUUCCUGUUGGAACAGUUGGCCUUUGAGUUUCAUGCAAACUAAGCAUGACCAGAGUUGGCGCAUGGCAGAAGCUCGGGGUGGCUUGUUGGCUGGAAAACCCUCCAUCCUCACCUGGGUUUGGUUUGCCCACACAGGCCUCCACUGGGUCCCUGAUCUUUGGAGUCUGCAUGAGUGUCAUGCUGGGUGCAGGGUUACCUACACCCUACCCAGAGAAUAAGGUGUUUCCCUGACUCGAGCUUGGGAAAAGCACCCCAUUACGUGGCCACCUGUUUCUUCUGGAGGCCCCUAUCAGGCAGCGGUUAUACUGGCCCGCUACGUCCGCACAGUUUGGAGAGCUUCUAAUGUGCAGCCCAGACCCAUACUUGUCACCUCAGCUCCAUGGUGAGGAGAACACUAGGUCCAUUAUCCCCAGGUCCCCAUUUUCCAGAUGAGGAAACAGGUUCAACCACGUUAAGCUGAUGUACCUGGGACUUCAUGGCUUUGGUUGGAGGACUGCUGAGUCUUCAGGUUUCCGGUCCAGUGACUCCGAAGGAUAAGAAGAAAUGACCAAGACAUAUGCAGACCAGGACAUGGCAAGUGGUGAAAAGGUGCCCAGAAAUAGUGGGGAGAGAAGGAGGAAUCCGAGGAGGAGAA
Molecule: long non-coding RNA, 2264 nt
Organism: Neogale vison (American mink)
Lineage: Eukaryota; Metazoa; Chordata; Mammalia; Carnivora; Mustelidae
Exons: 3
Source: RefSeq, a predicted model, not a curated record